Alligator mississippiensis (American alligator) is the source of this 3651-nucleotide long non-coding RNA. RefSeq lists it as uncharacterized. The record is from RefSeq and is a predicted model, not a curated record. The transcript has 3 exons. Lineage: Eukaryota; Metazoa; Chordata; Crocodylia; Alligatoridae.
GUUUGCUGCCAGUGGUCAAGCGGGAAGGAGCCUGUCUCGGACGGCCAGAGCCGACUCAAGAAUGCUUCACCAUUUAUAUCACCUGCUACUGAAAGCACUUAUAAAAUGUGCCUGGGCAAGUCCUAUUAUAUGAAUGGAACUGGACAUUGCCUCUCUCACUAGAUGAAGCAAUCCUGUCUCCACACUGCAUGGGCAUCAGCACAGACAGCACUAAGAUCACAGGAGAGAGGCUCUCUACUCUUGGUGCUAGUAUUUGGACGUGAACUAACCCACAGCACCUUAAGACUGUUUUUGUAGGUAUAGUUCACUGACCUCUGUGUUGGAGCAUGCCUGCGUGGACAGAGUCUUAAGGCAAUUAAGGUGCAAAGCUCUAGCAAAUCUCUAUUGAGCAUGUGAGAAUGGAAUCUGUUCUAAUAUUUAUAAUCUACCAGAUGUGCAUAAAUUUGGCUAGGGACUGAAGGAGGGUCAAUAGUCACUGACAUGAAGGCUAACACCCUGCCAAAUUUCAAGUUUUUCCUCCAAAGUAUGGGGAGUCGACUUAUAAUAAGAUAUGGGAUUGCCAGUGUCUAUUUUAAGACCAUUUGAAUUGGUCUGUGUCCUGUUGGUCAGACUGUGUGUACGUGUGGGGCUGAGGGGAGGAGAUAAAACAACCCAUGCUUCUAAAUUGUUGUUCCUGGGCCCUGUAGUUAAGCAAAAUUAGCUUUGAUUUUGAUGAGAAUUUUUCUCAAUGGCAGCUACAGGGUCAGAAUGAGCAACAUUUUUUAGCAGAUCAGUCAGAAAAAGUUACAGGAAAGUCUGCAGUUUUCUGUUUUCAUAUAGGCUGUUUCUGAGUGUUGUCUGCUAUGGGCCAGGUUCCAAGUGAUUUUAGUGGGCUUUGCGUUGGGUUCUAUCAGACCACUGGUAUAUAAAGGACUGUUUGGGUUACCCCCGAGGUUGUUUUUAUAAGUAGGAGUGGCUGAUUUGCAUUUUCCUAUUCCUAAGAAGGAAAGCUCAUGCAUUGUUAGAGAAGAGCUAUAAACUACCAAGAAGUGACCUCAGAUGACAGGUAUAUCAUGCACUUUCAUUCUGUUCACUUACAGUAUUUACAACAUCUCCCCAUUAACGUUUAGAUUUUUACAACUAUUAAUGACCCUUUUAUCAGAGCAGCAAUAACCAGUAAAUCUAUUGUGGCUUUUAUUGCUCUGCUUGUGACACAUAAAAGGCCUGAUUUAUAACAUGUCAUGAAUGGUGAAGAGUAUUUUCAGCACCAUAAAACUUCUAAUCCAGUUGCAACAAUAACUGUAUGUUCGUAUAAAGGCCACAUUUCUAUUGUUUUCAGAGAAUUAGCUUUAAGUGGAAUUCACCUGUAGGCAGCAAUGAACUCUGUGCAUUUAACUUGUUAUGAAAAAGGUAAAUCAAAGCUCAAAGCAUGGAUGCAUCAUGAACAUUUUUCAUUAUUUUUACCUUGCACAUUCACCAGUCACACUCCUGUAUUUGUAGAUACCACAAUCAAAUAUCAUCCCAUGGACAUUACAGUUUGCUCCAGUAACGUGACUAUAUUCUAUCAUUAUAACUUUUUCUGAAUGUAUGUAGGACAACACCAGCCCAUAUAGAAAACAUGGUCCCUAUCCCAAUUUGUUUACAGUCUAAUUCAAAUAUAUACAGUAUGGUUUGGUCUCAGAUACCUACACAAGACAAUGCAAACAAUGUUUCUUGGAGAAUGGGCAUUGAAAGGCUUUAUGAGAGAACAUAGUGAGGAAGAAUUUGAAACAUGAAAGGAAAACUGUUUUGUACAUUAGAAGGCAGCUUCUGACUAUCUCCAGCCCCAUAAAUGUCAAGGUCUUUAGCAGUCAAGAGAGGCUUAAAAUCAGUCAUUUUAACUCAGUUAAUGUAAAUUUUCAGUAGUGUACACAAAAAUCAGUGUACCAUUUCUGUAAUUAAUAAUCACACAAUAUCAGAGUGUGUAUCCAAUUCCCAGUGCUACGCUGAAAAUAUAUAUUUAAGUUAGUUUUCAAUUAUAGUAACAGCCAAAGCAAUAAGGAUUUAAAUUUACCCACUUGGCCAAGAUUUCUAGCAAGCCCUUGCAACCUUUUACUGGUAAGUUUUCCUCUUUUGGACCUUCCAACUUCUGUAAUUAAAAAACACUAAAUAAGCCCUUUAAGAUCCCGUGAAAAUAAAUUGUGAAUAAAGGCAAUAUUGGUCUAAUGGUUUAUAGGUGCACACCUGUCUCUCUCUGUAGAUAUAGAUUACUAAUAUUAUGUGUGAUACGCUUUCUGUAAGUUGUGGAUGCUGUGUAAGGUUCCAGAUAUUCCUUUUGUUUAUAAAUUUGAAUGGUUUUGGCACUACCUCCUAAAUCAGAAGACGGUACUAUUAAUUAUGGGCAAAGCAUAUUUCUGGCAAUGGCUUCAUUUGCCCUAGAUCUGUAUUUACAUCCUUAAUGCUAGAUUUGGGGUGUGAGUCAAAAACCUUCUAAUGGGAAGAUUCCCCUUGAUUUGAAUGGAUUUGGAUCAGGCCCUUGUUGCCAUUGAGCACAAAAAGGGGAGAGAACAAACUUUGUGCUUGGCUUAUGUUGUUUUUCAAGUUUACUGUCUUUCAGCUCCCUAUUCUUUUCUCCUUCACCCUGUCCCUUGCAAACACAUUCUCUGCGAUAUCCUCCUCAACAUCCCUUCUCCUAGUAUUUUCCUGGCUCCUGCUGACCCUCUUCUCCUCAGUAGGACUAUAAAACCAAGAGCUCCCUAAAGAACUUUUCAUUAAUGUAAUUUAUUAGUUAAAUCAUUCUUCUGACCUAUUUCCCACUCAGCUAGAACAUUUUCCUGUCCACUCAAUGUAAUUGGUGCAUCACAUGAGCUCCAGUGGCUGUGCUAUAUGGCCAGACAUAUAUCACCAAGGCAGAGGAUAUUAGCAGAAAGGUGAGGGGUUUUCUUGGCACUCUGCCACCAUGGAUCAGACUGAAUUUCUGUUCUAAUUACUGAUACAUGCAGUCUCCUAAAGAGACAUUGCAGUAUUAAUUUACACCUUAUUCCUCACAGCUCUCUCAACUACAGUCAGCUGAAAAAAAAUAGGGCUUUCACUAUGGACUGGGGGUUCAAUACUGCAGACCUUGAGUCAUGUUAACAAGCUUCAUUUUCUCACAUUCCCUUGCUUAAGAAUCCUACCACUUUGCAGGAUCAGGACCUAGCAAUAGAGGGUAACAAGGUGAAAUCCUCCAAUCUCACAUUUUGGAUAAGAUGCAUUAUAUUCUUUGUUCACUGUUGUAAACUAACUUGGAGUGCUCCUUGUAGGGGACAACUCCAUCAACCUAGUUUUAGAUGUCAUCAGCUUCCCCAGUGAAACACAGCCUGACUGUUUUAUAUACUAUGGAAUUUCCUUUUGUAUAUAAUAAUGUGCUAUCUGUUGAUUCAAACUUCAAGGGAAUCUGAAAUAUUAAUCUUCAGUGAAAACUGUACCGUAGUUUCAUUGCACAACAUAUUCACUUUAAAUUUAAAAAAGUCUAAAAAAAAAUCUAUCUACAAGGUCAAAACUAAGUCUGGAUCUUUGCCAACAGGCUGCCAUUCUUCCCUUUUGUUGUUUUGCCUAGUAAAAGCCCUUCACAUAAUCAACAUUCGCUAUAUUGUUUUCAAUUGGCUUCCACCUUUUUGGACUCCUCCUCCCUUCCCUUAUCCCCAUGUGCUC